This 357-nucleotide long non-coding RNA is filed under the name Gossypium raimondii (Peruvian cotton). RNAcentral's name for it is "long non-coding RNA (GRAI_LNC001851)". Lineage: Eukaryota; Viridiplantae; Streptophyta; Magnoliopsida; Malvales; Malvaceae. The record is from RNAcentral.
UGGUAUAUGUAUGGCUUUAUAUAGCCUAUUACAAUGCAUUUUCUAUUUUUCUACUAUUUUGCGUUGUUUUUCUUCUGCUUUGCGUGUUUGGUUUCCAUUUUGCAGGUGCUGUAGGCGGCGGUGGCAGAAAGUAGGUGGCCACUUGCACUGAGGAUGUGACGGGGGCGGUGGCGGCAAGUCAGAGGGCAGGUGGUUGGAGGCCCUAGGUGCGGCAUACCUAGGGUUUUGUUUAUUUUUUCUGUUUUAUGUUAUUGGGUUUAGUGGGCUGCUAGGGUUAGGUAUUUGGGUAGUGGGAUUGUUUGGGCUUUGGGUCUGUUUUGGGUCUAUUUUGGGUUAUGGGUUGUAAUUGGGUUGAGG